GCAGUGUUAGUUUAACGGUAGAACAGGGCACUUCCAAUGCUCAGAUGAGGUUUCGAUUACCUUACACUGCUCA
RNAcentral lists this transfer RNA (73 nucleotides) under Podoviridae sp. ct8Lf7. Its description in RNAcentral is "tRNA-Gly". It matches the Rfam family "tRNA". From Rfam's summary of the family: Transfer RNA (tRNA) molecules are approximately 80 nucleotides in length. The record is from RNAcentral. Lineage: Duplodnaviria; Heunggongvirae; Uroviricota; Caudoviricetes.